Camelina sativa (false flax) is the source of this 1043-nucleotide non-coding RNA. NCBI's taxonomy places the organism in Eukaryota, Viridiplantae, Streptophyta, Magnoliopsida, Brassicales, Brassicaceae. The record is from RefSeq and is a predicted model, not a curated record.
GCAACGCGGCGGUAAGAAUCCUUGGUGAUGCGGUAAGGAUUCUCGGUGAUGCGAUAAGGAAGGUGGAGUGGAAGCGAAAGUACAACGAGCGGUAGGAACCGGACGUGAUACGGUAGAGAUGAACGCGAAGGUGGUUUGAUGCGACGACACACGGGAGAUGGCUCGGCCCGUGAUACGGUCAACUAGUCGAUGUCGAACCCGGUUCGAGAUCGGCUAGGGUUUCUCGGUAGUCAAGUCCCGGACUUGGACUAAGGAGAGAGGUGAGACAAGAACAAGAUUCUCUCUUGUGAAAUUUAAUUCAAUACUUCAAGUCUGCCUUUUACAAUGAGGGUUUAGGCCUUUAUAUAGGAAGGCUUACAAAUGGGAGACUCUAAAACCCUAGACACGCGGCCAGGAUCUCAUCCUUACACUUGGCCAUAAAGCAAAAGCAAAAGUAAAACAAAGGAAAGACCAAUCCAACGGUCAUAGAAGGUUCAAGAAGAAAUUCAAAGGAAGGGAAGGGAGAGAGAUAGAAAAGCCACGUCAUUGGCUGGACGCGGUGAUAGGAUCUUCACUUCCUUGGCUCCUAAACUUGUCAAUGAUUGUUUCCAAGUCAUGAGCCAAGCGGGAACGAAGUGGAGAUGCACUAGAGUUCGCUGCCUCGUUAAAACCUCUUUGGUAAACCCAUUGGGACAAACCCAAAGUAGGGAAAAGAGUACAGCUCCUUCUAAUGACUUAGGGGCGUCUUCACGCUUGCGCGAUGGUGAAGACUCGCGAACUAAGCUUCCCAAAGCUGGUCGCAACUCAAGGCUCUUAAGUGGUGAUGCUAGCCAUGAGCCAUUGGUGUGAGGGUUGAAGCUUGGAUUGCAAAGCCCAUUAGAUGACUUUACUUGCUCCUCCUUGAUGAUCCUUGGAAACUAGUUGGUACCGCGCAUCACUAGGAAGGCCGGUUCCAAGUUGUCGAUAAGUGUCCGAGAGGCGUCCAAGUGUUGUCCGAGAGGUGGUUGAGAGACGUCCGAGAGAAUCGAGUGUUCACGGCCGAGUGGUCGAUCCCGUGAUCACAU